AACGCGAAGAACCUUACCUGGCCUUGACAUGUCUGGAACCCCUGAGAGAUUGGGGGGUGCCUUCGGGAACCAGAACACAGGUGCUGCAUGGCUGUCGUCAGCUCGUGUCGUGAGAUGUUGGGUUAAGUCCCGCAACGAGCGCAACCCUUGUCCCUAGUUGCCAGCACGUAAAGGUGGGAACUCUAGGGAGACCGCCGGUGACAAACCGGAGGAAGGUGGGGAUGACGUCAAGUCCUCAUGGCCCUUACGGCCAGGGCUACACACGUACUACAAUGGUGGGUACAAAGGGUUGCCAAGCCGCGAGGUGGAGCCAAUCCCAGAAAACCCAUCUCAGUCCGGAUCGGAGUCUGCAACUCGACUCCGUGAAGUCGGAAUCGCUAGUAAUCGCGGAUCAGCAAUGCCGCGGUGAAUACGUUCCCGGGCCUUGUACACACCGAUAGC
RNAcentral lists this ribosomal RNA (441 nucleotides) under uncultured bacterium. Its description in RNAcentral is "bacterial SSU rRNA". It matches the Rfam family "Bacterial small subunit ribosomal RNA", at positions 958 to 1397 of the family's 1533-position model. The record is from RNAcentral.